GACGAACGCUGGCGGCGUGCUUGACACAUGCAAGUCGAACGGAAAGGCCUGCUUUCCCUUGUGGAUUGCGGGUACUCGAGUGGCGAACGGGUGAGUAACACGUGAGUGAUCUGCCCCCAACUUGGGUAUAAGCCUGGGAAACUGGGUCUAAUUCCCGAUAGGACUGCAGGGUGCUGCCUGUGGUGGAAAACGAUUUUCUAGUGGUUGGGGAUGAGCUCGCGGCCUAUCAGCUUGUUGGUGGGGUAAUGGCCUACCAAGGCGGCGACGGGUAGCCGGCCUGAGAGGGUGGACGGCCACAUUGGGACUGAGAUACGGCCCAGACUCCUACGGGAGGCAGCAGUGGGGAAUAUUGCACAAUGGGCGGAAGCCUGAUGCAGCGACGCCGCGUGGGGGAUGACGGCCUUCGGGUUGUAAACUCCUUUCGACCGCGAGGAAGCCACCUGGUUGGAAGGGUGGUGACGGUAGUGGUAGAAGAAGCACCGGCUAACUACGUG
Molecule: ribosomal RNA, 494 nt
Filed under: uncultured bacterium
Lineage: Bacteria
Description: partial 16S ribosomal RNA
Rfam family: Bacterial small subunit ribosomal RNA
Source: RNAcentral